AGAAACGCCGUGAAAAGGAAAGUAGAAAAGGGAUUUGACGUCCAGAGAGUCGCCUGAUUGCUGGGAGGGCGGCCGCGAACUCUUUUUGAAAGCCACCUUGGAGCUCUGCUUUUGAACACGAGUAGAAAGCAGCGACUAGCCUACGUUAUCAGGCGCAUGUCAGUUUUGACUGCACAAGUUUUCCUUUUGUGAAAAAGGGAAAAAAGCUGAGUGGUACCGCGAUACCUUCGCCUCAGCA
RNAcentral lists this non-coding RNA (238 nucleotides) under Brevibacillus choshinensis. RNAcentral's name for it is "T-box sequence". It matches the Rfam family "T-box leader". From Rfam's summary of the family: Uncharged tRNA acts as the effector for transcription antitermination of genes in the T-box leader family. T-boxes are found upstream of many aminoacyl-tRNA synthetase genes and some amino acid biosynthetic genes usually in Gram-positive bacteria. The record is from RNAcentral. Lineage: Bacteria; Bacillati; Bacillota; Bacilli; Caryophanales; Paenibacillaceae.